UACGGAGGGUGCAAGCGUUAUCCGGAUUCACUGGGUUUAAAGGGUGCGUAGGUGGGCAGGUAAGUCAGUGGUGAAAUCUCCGGGCUUAACCCGGAAACUGCCGUUGAUACUAUCUGUCUUGAAUAUCGCGUAGGUAAGCGGAAUAUGUCAUGUAGCGGUGAAAUGCUUAGAUAUGACAUAGAACACCAAUUGCGAAGGCAGCUUACUUCACGAUCAUUGACACUGAGGCACGAAAGCGUGGGGAGCAAACAGG
This 253-nucleotide ribosomal RNA is filed under the name uncultured bacterium. RNAcentral describes it as "partial 16S ribosomal RNA". It matches the Rfam family "Bacterial small subunit ribosomal RNA", at positions 524 to 776 of the family's 1533-position model. The record is from RNAcentral.